UGUGUUUCCGCAUUGAAGGUGGAGACCUGAAGUGGGACAGGCUUGCUGUGUAACGUUAGGGGAAGUUGCUCAAUAUCGGAAAGACACAUUUUACUAAACUGUGAGCAAAAAAUCAGUUUGCUAAUGUUCUGUUUCUAUGGGUGCAAUGGCGGACGAUUAAUACCCGUAACGGCGCUAUAAUUUGUAAGCCUACA
Molecule: long non-coding RNA, 194 nt
Organism: Etheostoma cragini (Arkansas darter)
Lineage: Eukaryota; Metazoa; Chordata; Actinopteri; Perciformes; Percidae
Exons: 3
Source: RefSeq, a predicted model, not a curated record